AUUUGUACUUUUCUUUAAUCAAUAAUUUUGAUAAACAAACAUGCCAUUAGAUAUACUUGAUAAUAAUUGCCUUUGCUAUAAUAGCUAAAACCAGAAUAUUGAUAUAUAGUUUACAUGUCCACAAAUAACCACCAACAGCAACAUACACCGUGCAAUCCCACAAAUGGAGUAAUGGAAUGGUACAAUGUACGUAGAUGUUAACUUCUCUAACAUGCAUUAUAAGCAGGACAACUAAACGCUGGGCUG
Molecule: unclassified non-coding RNA, 246 nt
Filed under: Hevea brasiliensis (rubber tree)
Lineage: Eukaryota; Viridiplantae; Streptophyta; Magnoliopsida; Malpighiales; Euphorbiaceae
Source: RNAcentral